RNAcentral lists this ribosomal RNA (382 nucleotides) under uncultured eukaryote. Its description in RNAcentral is "partial 18S ribosomal RNA". It matches the Rfam family "Eukaryotic small subunit ribosomal RNA", at positions 592 to 976 of the family's 1831-position model. The record is from RNAcentral.
CAAUAGCGUAUAUUAAAGUUGUUGCAGUUAAAAAGCUCGUAGUUGGAUUUCUGGUUGAAGCGACCGGUCGGGCGUUGAUUCGUCUGCACUGGAGUCGGUUUUGGCCAUCCUCUAGGAAAGUGCGUCUGGUAUUAAGUUAUCGGGCGUAUGAUCCUGGUCUUUUACUGUGAAAAAAUUAGAGUGUUUAAAGCAGGCCUUCGCCUUAAAUACAUUAGCAUGGAAUAAUAAGAUAGGACUUUGGUCUAUUUUGUUGGUUUGCAGACCGAAGUAAUGAUUAAUAGGGAUAGUUGGGGGUAUUUAUAUUCCGAUGUCAGAGGUGAAAUUCUUAGAUUUUCGGAAGAUAAACUUAUGCGAAAGCAUUUACCAAGGAUGUUUUCAUUAA